UAGGGAAUCUUCGGCAAUGGACGAAAGUCUGACCGAGCAACGCCGCGUGAGUGAAGAAGGUUUUCGGAUCGUAAAACUCUGUUGUUAGAGAAGAACAAGGACGUUAGUAACUGAACGUCCCCUGACGGUAUCUAACCAGAAAGCCACGGCUAACUACGUGCCAGCAGCCGCGGUAAUACGUCGGUGGCAAGCGUUGUCCGGAAUUAUUGGGCGUAAAGCGAGCGCAGGCGGAUUCUUAAGUCUGAUGUGAAAGCCCCCGGCUCAACCGGGGAAGUGCAUUUGAAACUGGAAGACUUGAGUGCAGAAGAGGAGAGUGGAAUUCCAAGUGUAGCGGUGAAAUGCGUAGAUAUAUGGAGGAACACCAGUGGCGAAGGCGGCUAUCUGGUCUGUAACUGACGCUGAGGCUCGAAAGCGUGGGGAGCAAACAGG
RNAcentral lists this ribosomal RNA (429 nucleotides) under Gemmatimonadota bacterium. RNAcentral's name for it is "Gemmatimonadetes bacterium partial 16S ribosomal RNA". It matches the Rfam family "Bacterial small subunit ribosomal RNA", at positions 355 to 776 of the family's 1533-position model. The record is from RNAcentral. Lineage: Bacteria; Pseudomonadati; Gemmatimonadota.